This is a long non-coding RNA of Teleopsis dalmanni, 444 nucleotides long. RefSeq lists it as uncharacterized. Lineage: Eukaryota; Metazoa; Arthropoda; Insecta; Diptera; Diopsidae. The record is from RefSeq and is a predicted model, not a curated record. The transcript has 3 exons.
CUUGAAUUCUAAAAUAAUUAAUUUGUUGUACGGCAUCUUACUUCAACGGUGGAAACGAUAUUGGUUGAACGCUUGGGUCCCCGCGAAUAUAAAUUUUCUUGUAAGACCUUGGACUAGGCUGAGAACUACCCCGGAUAGGAAAAAUUAGGUUCAUUACAAGACAGAAAAAAAGCCUUCAAGCAGUUCAUUAAUAGAGUGGGCGGUGAUAAAAUGGCAGUAUUUUUAAGGCAAAGUGUUAAAAAAGUCUUAUCUGAUGAGCUCGCAACAAAUUACACAUGGAGAGGAAUAAAGGAGAAGACUAGUAUACUAACGUAUACUUUCAAAAAAAUAAUAAAAAAUAUGUCUCCUUAAAUUUCCAACUGUAAAUGACAUUAAAAUAAGUUCAGUGCUUCAACCACAUUUUAUACACGCAAAAAACCGGAUUAAGAAGCGAAAGUUGAAAUC